Long non-coding RNA from Rosa chinensis, 549 nucleotides. RefSeq lists it as uncharacterized. The record is from RefSeq and is a predicted model, not a curated record. NCBI's taxonomy places the organism in Eukaryota, Viridiplantae, Streptophyta, Magnoliopsida, Rosales, Rosaceae. The transcript has 2 exons.
CAUUUGGGCAUAACAUAACGAAACGCCCAACUACAAGUUUUGAGAGGAAUCCAACGGCUGAAAACAUAAUGGGGAUCGGAGCUAUAUAAACGUCCUUGAACCCUAAAAUCGAUUAGUCAUCAAUCGUCUCCAUCGCUCGCAAACAUGUGGUCGAAGGUUUUCUCUGUCACAAAGGCCUUGCCCUGGAUUGCAAUUUCGAGUGCCUUUACUAGAACCUUAACUUUUGGAUCUACAGCCUACUUUUUUUACCGUACGGUCCCGUUGUUCGGUGAAGUCAUGAAAUCCCAAAAGGCUGCAAACGAGGCCUUUCAUCAGUGCUGGUCCAGGUCUCGAACCGAGUAACACCCUUGUGUUCUAAAUUAAUGGGUGCAAUGGUAAUGUAAUGUGAUGCGAUGCGAUGGGUGUUGGAGGAUGACUAAUACUUUGCUUGAAUAAUUUUAAGACCUUGUAAUUGAAUUAUGUAUCUAUUAUGUCUAUCUUUUGCUUACUUUUAAGGCACCUCCAGCCUUAUGGCUUUUUUAUAUGAUUGUCGCCGCAAGUCUUAUUUUG